CGGCAGCGCGGAAGGCCAGCCUGCAGAGAGGCUGGGCCCAGCGCCCUGACUGACCCAGCCCCGCCACGUCCAAGGUUCCCGCCCUCUGGAGGAAGCCGCGCAAUCACUCCGGGGGCGGGGAGAGACAGACAACUGAGAGGAAGGAGGUACCACGGGCACUCUCUCGCGAGAGGGCCGCAGAGCCGCCUUUGACGGGGGCGUGUACCUGGAGAGCAACGCUCUUGACAAAAUUCUCAGGGAAAACUCUUCAGCUCUGGAUGUCUCCCUUUUUGUGGAUCAAACACAAAGGGCAUCAUUCUAAAAUAUAUACAGAACCAUAAAAGCCCCAAAUAGCCAAAGCAACCCUGAGCAAAAAGAACAAGGCUGGAAGCAUCACACUACCAGACUUCAAAAUUUACUACAAAGCUCUAAUACCUAAAAUAACAUGGUACUGGCAUUAAAAAAAAAAAAAAAAUAGGCACAUAGACCACCAAUGAAACAGUAUAGAGAAUCUAGAUAUACCAACUCAUCUUUAACAAAGGUGCCAAGAACAUACAAUGAGGAAACGAUGGUCUUUUCAAUAAAUGGUGUGGGGGAAAGCUAGAUAACUAUAUGCAGAAGAAUGAAACAAGAUUCCUCUCUCUCGCUAUACACAAAAAUCAAAUCAAAAUGGAUUAAAGGCUUAAAUCUAAGACCUGAAACUACAAAACUAGAAGAACACACUGGAGAAGUGCUCCAGGACCUUGGUCUGGGAAAAGAUUUUUUUGUUUAAGACCUCAAAAGCACAGACAACAAAGCAAAAACAGACAAAUGAGAUUACAUUAAGCUAAAAAGUUUCUGCACAGCAAAGGAAACACUCAACAGAGUGGGGGAGACAACCCACAGAAUGAGAGAAAACAUUUUCAAACUAUCCAUCCGACAAGGGAUUAAUGACCAGAAUAAAGAGACCAAACAAUUUAAGCCAAAAACAAAACAAACAAACACACAAAAAAAACAAAAGCCAAAUAAUCUAAAAAGUGGGCAGGUUGGGUGGGGUGGCUCAAGCCUAUAAUCCCAGCACUUUGGGAGGCCAAGGCAGGCAGGUCAAGAGAUCGAGACCAUCCUGGCCAACAUGGUGAAACCCCAUCUCUACUGAAAAUACAAAAAAAAUUAGCCGGGUGUGGUGGCAUGUGCCUGUAGUCCCAGCUACUUGGGAAGCUGAGGCAGUGAGAAUCGCUUGAACCUGGGAGGCAGAGGUUGCAGUGAACCAAGAUCACACAACUGCACUCCAGCCUGAUGACAGAGCGAGACUCCAUCUUGAAAAAAAAAAAAAAAAAAGUGGGCAAAAGAUCCAAACAGACAUUUCUCAAAGGAAGACAUAAAAAUGGCCAACAGGUAUAUGAAAAAAUGCUCAACAUUACUAAUCAUUAGAGAAAUGCAAAUUAAAACAACAUGUUAUUUCACCCCAGUUAAAAUGGCUUGUAUUAAGAAAACAGAUAAUAACAGAUGCUAGUGAGGAUGUGGAGAAAAGAGAACCCUCAUACACUGUUGGUAGAAAUGUAAACUAGUACAACCACUAUGAAGAACAGUAUGGAAGUUCUUCAAAAAACUAAAAAUAGAAUUACCAUAUGAUCCAGCAAUUCCACUACUGAAUAUGUAUCCAAAAGAAAGGAAAUCCGUAUAUCAAAAAGAUAUCUGCACUCCCAUGUUUAUUGCAGCAUUGUUCACAAUAGCCAAGAUAUGGAAUUAACCUAAGUGCCCAUCAAUGGGUGAAUGGAUAAAGUGUGGUAUGUAUGCACAAUGAAAUAUUAAUCAGCCAUAAAAAAUAAUGAAACCCUCUCAUUUGCAGCAACAUGGAUGAUACUGGCGACCACUAUGUUAAAUAAGCCAAGUACAUAAAGACAAAUAUUGCAUGUUGUCAGUCAUACAUGGGAGCUAAAAAUGUGGAUUUCAUGAUGACACAGAGUACAUUGGUGGUUACCAGAAGCCAGAAAGGAGGGGAUGGAGUAGGGGAUGAAGGGGGAAAAAGGAUAUAAGUGUACUUAUUACCACUGAACUGUACACUUAAAAUGGUAAAGAUGGUAUGUUAUGUAUUACCUCAGUUUACAAAAGAAAAAACAAAUGGCAUCAACGUUAAUAAGUGUAAAAGUUGUACUAGGGAUAAAUCCGCCAUUUAAAAGGGAAAUUAGAAAUCUGAAAUAAUGAGUGCAGUUAGACUCUGAAACCCUUGAAGUCCCCAAAAGUCUCAUUCAGAACUGGUCCCAAAAUGAAUACGUACUUUUGUAUCAUUGUCUAAUUAAAGCUGCUUUUUUCAAGUAUUAGUUUGCUUCAAAAUUAAUCUUUUUAUUUGUACUAUUAUUAUGAGUGUUAUUUCCUAUUCUUCAGGUAUAUUUUUUGGAGAACAGUGUUAGUGAAAAGAGCUUGACUGUUAGACAGUCUUGAGUUAAAAUUCACGUUAGCUGUGACGAAGAAACUAUUACAUUAAAUUUUAAUUACUUAAUUUUAUUAUCUACAAUUAAGGAUAAUAAUAUCACCAAAGGUUGUGGAGAGGAUUUAAUGGGAUGACACAUAAAACUAGGACAUAGAGGCAUCUAGCAAAUACACACUUCCUUCCCUUCUCCCUUGUUAUAUACUUAUCCACACGGGCUAGGAUUUCUUUGAAGGAACCAUUUCUAUCUUAGCCAGUGUUCUAUCUGAGGUAUUUGAUGCUCUCUGCUUUUUUCUUUCACACCCCACUUUCAGUCUCUCAGUAUGUACUGUGAGCUCUGCUUUCAGACUAGAUUCGUAACUCAGUGAUUUCCUACUCCUCCACAACCACCACCCUGGUCCAGGCCAUCAUCAUUUUUCAUCUGGACUACUGUAGUCACUUCCUAACUGGACUCCCAACUUCCACUCUUGCUGCUUGCCAUUUAUUGUUCACAUAGCAGCCAAAGUUAUUCUUUCAUAAAUUAGAUCAUGUCACUUCUCUGCUCAAAACCUUCCAAGAGCUCUCCACCACUUUUAGACUAAAUAUCUGAAGUCCUUACCAAAUCCUACUAGAUCUAUGUGAUUUGACCCCAGCCUAUCAUUCGGACUUCAGACCUCUCUCCUGCUACCUUACUGUGCUCCAGCAGCACUGGCCUCCUUGCUGUUCUUUUUUUUUUUUUUUUUUUUUUUUGAGAUGGAGUUUUGCUCUUGUUGCCCAGGCUGGGGUGCAAUGCUGUGAUCUUGGCUCACUACAACUUCCGCCUUCCAGGUUCAAGCAAUUCUCCUGCCUCAGCCACCCAAGUAACUGGGAUUACAGGCGCCUGCCACCACACUCAGCCAAUUUUUUGUAUUUUUAGCAGAGAUGAGGUUUCACCAUGUUGGCCAGGCUGGUCUCGAACUCCUGACCUCAGGUGAUCCUCCUGCCUUGGCCUCCCAAAGUGUUGGGAUUACAGGCAUGAGCCACCGCUCCCAGCCCUCCUUCCUGUUCUUUGAUGGUGCCAAGCAUACUCCUGCCUUGGGGCCUUUACAUCUGCUGUUCCCUCUGCCUGGAAUGCUCUUUCUAGAUUUUUAAUGCCUUACUUUCUCAUUUUCUAACUCAGAGAGGCUGAACCUAGGUACCUCAUUUUAAACAGAUACCCCUGCAAGGGUUUCUUCCUCUCCUUAUGCUUAUUUUCCUCAUAGCACUUACCCCACAUUGAUAUUGAGAUUUUUUUUCUUUCUUUUCUUUCUUUUUCUCUUUCUUUCUUUUUCUUUCUCUUUCCUUCCUUCCUUCCUUUCAUUCUUUUCUUUUUCCUUCCUUCCUUCCAUUCUUUUCUCUCUCCUUCCUUCCUUCUCCCUUCCCUCCCCUCCCCUCCCCUCAUAUAGGGGUCUCACUAUGUUGCCCAGGCUCCUGGACUCAAGUGAUCUUCCCACCUUAGCCUCCCAAGUAGCUGGGAUUAUAGGCACACACCAGCACACCUGACUCUAUGUAGUCCCACCUGAAAUGUAAGUUUCCCUCUGAAAUACAGGUUCAAUACUUUGUUUUGUUCACUUUGUAUCAUCAGCAUUUACAUCUGCCAGGCAUUCAAAAAUAUUCGUUGAAUAAGUAAGUGAGCAAACUUACCUGCUUCCACAGCCAUCCUUUCCCCUCUCCCUAGAGAUGUUUUUCUUCCUGUCUGAGAUUAUAAUGUCUCCCCUGUGUCCUGCCUCCUCAGCAUUCCUUAAUAUUGCCUAUCUUCCACAUUCAGUUCUCCCUGGCUACAUUUUUUGUUUUCUGGCAAGCAUACAUCUCUCCCAUCUUAAAUUAAAACAAAAAAAGAGAAAGAAAAUUCUCUCUGGGCAUCCCCUGUCAGCUGCCAGUCUCUGUCUCUCCUGCUCUUAACAAACUUUUGAAAUAUUUAUUUAUACUCUUUGCAUUGCCUCAAUUCUCUUUCAUUCAAGUUUCUCCAAACCCAUAGAAACUGUUCACUCCUGCUUUAAACUUUCUUUCCUGAGCUCUUCCAAGAUAUUACUCUCUUAUUGUUUUUUUAAUCUUACUUCCCUGAUUGCUACUUUUCCUGUCCCUCCCUCAAAUUUUGUAUAUCACAGCGUUCUGAUACAAGUUCUUCAUGUUCUCCAGAUUCUUCCUUGGCAAUCUUACUACAUCCAUUGCUUUAGUUACCACCUAAACCUGGAAGCCCAGCUCAGAUUUCUCUGUACUAAGCUCAUGACUUAUUUGACCUAGUGUCUACUUGAUAUCCACCUUGAUUUCCACAAGCACCUCAAAAUAAAGAUGCCCUCUUCCAUCUCCAAACUUGAUUCUCCUCCAGUGUUACUUAUUUUAGUGAGUGGUAGCAUCAUCCAGUUGCUCAAGUAGAAAACAUGGAUAUUGUCCUUGAUUUAUCCUUCGCCUUCAGCCCCCUUCCCCCAUUUAGCCAACCAUUGGCUUCCAUUAAUUCUAUUACAGUGAGAGAAAUUGUAUCCCCCCAGAAAGAUAUGUGAAAGUCCCAGCCCCCACUGCUUAUGAAUGUGAUCUUACUUAGGGUCUUUGUAGAUGUAAUUCAGGAUCUUGAGAGGUGAUUAUCCCGGAUUAGGGAGGGCCCUAAAUCCAAUGACUGAUGUCCUUAAACAUGAAAGGAGAGGGAGAUGUGAGACAAAGACACAGGGGAGAAUGCCAUGUGAAGAUCCCUAUAAGGCUGGAGAGAGAGAUUGGAGUGAUGCUGCUACAGGCCAAAGAACACCAAGAAUUGCCAACCCCAUUGACAGCCUGAUUUCAGACUUCUGACCUCCAAAACUGUGGAUGGAAAGCCGAUUUCCAGUCUUUAUGAUAACGCCGAUGUUCCACUUGGGAAAGAUACUGUACAACAAUGAAAGUAGCCCUUUCUUUUGUCUUUCAAAGAAUGUAUUUUUAACAAACAGCCUCUGUGUGAUCCUUUUGACCACACAAUUUGUAGAGUUAACGCUGAAAUUUUCAUUAGCAACAAUGAAAGCACACACAGGCACAAUAUUAAUAUAGAUUAAUAUCAGCCUAUUUUGGUCAGAAAGGCUCAUUUAAAUGUUUAAGAGACAGAAGUCCCAAAUUGUAGUAAUUUCUUCCACUAGCAGGAGGAAGCUCAGAAUUAGUUUUUCUACAACACUAGAGGAAUACUACUCAAAAAUAAAAAGGAAUUAACCAUUGAUACAUGCAACAACACAGAUGAAUCUCAAAGUAAUUGUGCUGAAAGAAACCAGACCCAGAAAAAGAUAAAUUCUAUAUGAUCUCAUUUAUAUAAGACUCUAGGAAAUGCAAACUAAUCUACACAUACAGAAAACUGAGGGCAGGUACUGAGAAGGGUAGGAGGGGGGCGUUACAGAGAGGCAUGAGGAAACUUUUUGGGGUGAUAGAUAUGUUUACUACUUUGAUUGUAAGGAUGAGGUCGCAACUCUGUGCGUGUCAGUGGUAUAUUUUAAUAUGAACGGCUUAUUUUAUGUAAAUUCUACCCCUAUAAAGCUGUUUUUUUUAAAAAAAAAAACUUCUCUUUGAGAGACAUCACCUUUGUCUUUUAAACCAUCUAAUGUUGAAUCUAAAAGUUCAGUGUAAAGUUUAAUAAAAUCAGAGUGUGUAUGUGUCUUAAUUUCCAGGACAUAUAAUCAUAGUGAUUAAGCCAAAAGUGCUUAUAUGAUUACCUAUAAACUAUCAUAGUUAAAUGACUAAAUACCCUGCAUAAGGUAAAAUGAUUAUUUUAUUCCUAUAGAUUGAAAUUGCCCAACUUUUUAUUAGAGAAUAAUAGAUUAGAGGGCAUGUUGGCUCAUACCUGUAAGCCCAAUGCUUUGGGAGGCUGAAGCGGGAGGAUCCCUUGAGGCCAGGAGUUGAAGAUCAGCUUGGGCAACAUAGCAAGACCACAUCUCUACAAAAAAAUUUAAAAUAAAAUGUUUAUCCAAGCAUAGUGGCACUCACUCACCUGUAGUACUAGCUGCUGAGGAAGCUGAGGCCUGGAGUUCAAACUGCACAACGCUGCACUUCAACCUAUGUGACAAAGUGAGAUCCUAUCUCUAAAAUAAUUAAUUCAGUUUUUAUAAUUAGGGAACAUUUAAAUUCAGAUUAUAAGUAAAAAAUGGAAUAAACAGUCCUGUUACCUGAUAUGGUUUGGAUCUCCAUCCCUACCCAAAUCUUAUGUUGAAAUGUAAUCCCCAAUGCUGGAGGUGGGGCCUGGUGGGAGAUGAUUGGAUCAUGGUGGUGGUUUCUCAUGGUUUAACACCAUCGUCCCCUGGUGCUGUCGCCGUGAUGAUGAAUUCUCACGAGAUCUGGUUGGUUUAAAAGUGUGUGGCACCUCCCCCUUCUCUCUUGCUCCUGCUCCUACCAUGUGAGAUGCCUUGGUCCCCCUUUGCCUUCCGCCAUGAUUCAGAGUUCUCUGAGGCCUCCCCAGAAGCAGAUGCUGCCAUGCUUUCUGUACAGCCUGCAGAACCGUAAGCCAAUUAAACCUCUUUUCUUAUACAUUACCCAGUGUCAGAUAUUUCUUUAUAGCAGUGUGAGAAUGGAUUAAUACACUACGUCAUGCAAAAUGUAAAAACAGGCAACUCACUGAGAGUAAACCUAAUCAACUUGUUCAUUUAGAUAUAAACUGUAGAGACGACACUGCCAUCUAGUUGUUGAAUACUGAGUAUACUGUUGAAACAUUCUUGACAAUGUUCUAUUUCUCUUUUGUAGACUUACAAGGAACACACAGAAGCCCCUAACCAAUUACAUCUCCUUCCUAGGAGUGUGAAUGUGACUGCCAUAGUGCAGCCCAUGCUGCCCCUGGUAAUUAUAUGCCUCAACCCAAGCAGUGAUCUGUGGUCAGUGAUCUUUGAUGUUACUAUUUUGACCGUUUGUGGGCACCACAAACUGUGCCCAUAUAACAUCAGCGAACUUAAUAAAUGGUGUGUGUGUUCGGACUGCUCUACCAACCGGCCAUCCCCCUAUCUUUCUCCCUCUCCUCAAACCUCCUUAUUCCCUGAGACACAAUACUGAAAUCAGGCCAAUUAAUCACCCUGCAAUGGCCUCCCAGUGUUCAAGUUAAAAGAAGACUUGUACAUCUCUCAUUGUAAAUCAAAAGCUAGAAAUGGUUAAGCUUAAUGAAGAGGCAUGUCAAAAGCCAAGACAGGCUAAAAAAGCUAGGGUCUUGUGCCAAACCAUUAAUUCUUGAAGGAAAUUAGAAGUGUUACUCCAGUAAACACCUAAGAAAACCUUAUUGCUGAUACGGAGAAAAAGUUUUAGUGGUCUGGAUAGAAAAUCAAACCAGCCACAACAUUCCCUUAGGCCAAAGCCUAAUCCAGAGCAAGGUUCUAAAUUCAAUUCUAUGAAGACUGAGAGGUAAGGAAGCUACAGAAGUUUGAAGCUAGUAGAGGUUGGUUUAUGAGGUUUAAAGAAAGAAGUCAUCUCCAUAAAUAAAAGUGCAAGGUGAAGCAGAAAGUGCUGAUGUAGAAGCUGCAGGAGUUUAUCCAGAUCCAGCUAAGACCAUUGUUAAAGGUGGCUAUACUCAGUAACAGAUUUUCAAUGUAGAUGUAACAAGCCUUUUAUUGGAAGAAGCCACCUUAGACUUUCACCGCUACAGAGAAGUCAGUGCCUGGCUUCAAAUCUUCCAAGAACCGGCUGACUUGUUAAAAGCUAAUGCUGCUGGUGACUUUAUAUUGAAGCCAAUGCUCAUUUGCCAUUCUGAAAAUCCUAGGGCCCUUAACAAUUAUGCUAAAUCUACUCUGCCUGUACUCUAUAAAUGGGACAAAGCCUGGAAGACAGCACAUCUGUUUACAGCAUGAUUUACUGAAUAUUUUAAGCCCACCAUUGAGAUCUACUGCACAAAAAGAUUCCUUUCAAAAUAUUGCUGCUCAUUAACAAUCAUCUCGUAUCCCAAGAGCUCAGACGGAGAUGGACAACGAGAUUCAUGCUGUUUUCAAGCCUGCUAACACAAUGUCCACUCUAUAGCCCAUAGACCAUGGAGCAAUUUCAACUUUCAAGUCUUAUGAUUUAAGAAAUACAUGUUGUAAGGCUAUUGCUGCCAUAAAUAGUGAUUUCUCUGAUGGAUCUGUGCAAAGUAAAUUGAAAACUUUCUGGAAAGGAUUCACUAUUCUAGAUAUCAAUAAGAACAUUCAUGAUUCAUGGGAUGAGGGCAAAAUAUCAUUUACUGGAGUUUAGAAGUUGUUUCCUGUCCUCAGAGAUGACUUUUAAGGGUUCAAGACUUCAAUGGAGGAAGUAACUGCAGAUGUGGUAGAAAUUGCAAGAUAACUAGAAUUAGGCCAGGUGUGGUGGCUCAAGCCUAUAAUCCCAGCACUUUGGGAGGCUAAAGUGGGCAGAUCGCUUGAGGCCAGGAGUUUGAGACCAGCCUGGAGUGAAACCCUGUCUCUACAAAAAAUGCAAAAAAUUAGCCAGGCAUGGUGGCGUGUACCUGUAGUCCCAGCUACUCUAGAGGCUAAAGUGGGAGGAUCACUUGGGCCCAAGAGGUAGAGGCUGCAGUGAGCUGUGAUGGUGCCACUGCACUCCAGCCCGGGGGCAGAGCAAGACCCUAUCUCAAAAAGAAAAAAGGCCAGACGUGGUGGCUCAUGCCUGUAACUCCAGCACUUUGGGAGGCCAAGGCGGGAAGAUCAUUUGAGCUCAGAAGUUCAAGACCAACCUGGGCAACAUGGCAAAAUCCUGUCUCUACUAAAAAUACAAAAAUUAGCCAGGUGUAGUGGCACGCACCUGCAGUCUUAGUUCUUGGGAGGG
RNAcentral lists this long non-coding RNA (9100 nucleotides) under Homo sapiens (human). RNAcentral's name for it is "HSALNT0078464". Lineage: Eukaryota; Metazoa; Chordata; Mammalia; Primates; Hominidae. The record is from RNAcentral.